CCAACCAGGUAAAGCAGAAUUUCUGGUUGGAGGAGAGUUUUCUCUCCUUCUGCUCCUCCCCAUUUUCCUCCCUCCAUUUCUCCCCACAGCCCCCUUUCAGCUUUCUUUCUCUGCAGCCUUUGUGUUGCCAUCCCAUCCUUUUCUGAUACCUUUCUGGGAACAGUUCCAACUUGUAAGAAUUCCCUUAUGGAUUUUCCUAAAUUAAUAGAACUACUAGGAAAAUGGUCCUGUCCUGAAAUGUCAUCUCUAUUGUCGAGACCCAGG
Long non-coding RNA from Erinaceus europaeus (western European hedgehog), 264 nucleotides. RefSeq lists it as uncharacterized. NCBI's taxonomy places the organism in Eukaryota, Metazoa, Chordata, Mammalia, Eulipotyphla, Erinaceidae. The transcript has 3 exons. The record is from RefSeq and is a predicted model, not a curated record.